UAAGGUCACGGCGAGACGAGCCGUUUAUCAUUACGAUAGGUGUCGAGUGGAAGUGCAGUGAUGUAUGCAGCUGAGGCAUCCUAACAGACCGAGAGAUUUGAAC
RNAcentral lists this ribosomal RNA (103 nucleotides) under Marantochloa purpurea. RNAcentral's name for it is "4.5S ribosomal RNA". The record is from RNAcentral. RNAcentral also lists the same sequence under 2 other names. Lineage: Eukaryota; Viridiplantae; Streptophyta; Magnoliopsida; Zingiberales; Marantaceae.